GACGAACGCUGGCGGCGUGCCUAAUACAUGCAAGUCGAGCGCAGGAAGCUGACGGAACUCUUCGGAGAGAAGGCAGUGGAAUGAGCGGCGGACGGGUGAGUAACACGUAAGGAACCUGCCUCAAGGAUUGGGAUAACUCCGAGAAAUCGGAGCUAAUACCGGAUAGUUCAACGGACCGCAUGGUCCGCUGAUGGAAGGCGCUUCGGCGUCACCUUGAGAUGGCCUUGCGGUGCAUUAGCUAGUUGGGGGGGUAACGGCCCACCAAGGCGACGAUGCAUAGCCGACCUGAGAGGGUGAUCGGCCACACUGGGACUGAGACACGGCCCAGACUCCUACGGGAGGCAGCAGUAGGGAAUCUCCCACAAUGGACGAAAGUCUGAUGGAGCAACGCCGCGUGAGUGAUGAAGGUUUUCGGAUCGUAAAACUCUGUUGUAAGGGAAGAACACGUACGAGAGGGAAUACUCGUACCUUGACGGUACCUUACGAGAAAGCCACGGCUAACUACGUGCCAGCAGCCGCAGUAA
Molecule: ribosomal RNA, 524 nt
Filed under: uncultured bacterium
Lineage: Bacteria
Description: partial 16S ribosomal RNA
Rfam family: Bacterial small subunit ribosomal RNA
Source: RNAcentral